Molecule: long non-coding RNA, 523 nt
Organism: Pan troglodytes (chimpanzee)
Lineage: Eukaryota; Metazoa; Chordata; Mammalia; Primates; Hominidae
Exons: 3
Source: RefSeq, a predicted model, not a curated record
GAUUGAGUAAUAGUGUGAAGACCUCAGUUCAAGAACCUUCCAGAAAUGGUAAAAAAACAUUCAAUAUAGGCGCAACAUUAUUAGUGAGAAUGCGAGCACCAAAACAGGAGGCUGAAGAGGUUGGAAACAAACCUUUCAAAGAAAGCUUUUUGCGACAAGAUGGCGGCAGCUGCCCAGGGCAGGAGAAGUGGUGGUGGCGGAGGCAGUAGUGGGGCCAGCGGUGGUCUCAGCUGCGUGACAGGCAGUAGCCUCAGUGGCAUGUUGGCUAAGUGGAAGACGGAUGAGAAGCAUGGAAAAACUGACAAGUGGGAUGGAUCCGCUAUGAAAAACUCUGGAUGAUUCUGCCAGAAAGGAAAGAAGAUGUGGGGGAAAAAAAAAAACCUUUCAAGAGUUUUAAGCAGAAGACGGACAUGAUUCUGUCAUUGUCAAAGUACCCUUCACCCAACGUGUUUACCAGUUCCCUCUAUUUAUUCACCUGCUUUCCACAUCCAAAUCAACAUUAAAGUUCCAACUUUUCACAGUA